Molecule: transfer RNA, 68 nt
Filed under: Neoaquamicrobium sediminum
Lineage: Bacteria; Pseudomonadati; Pseudomonadota; Alphaproteobacteria; Hyphomicrobiales; Phyllobacteriaceae
Also listed under: 2 other names
Rfam family: tRNA
About the family: Transfer RNA (tRNA) molecules are approximately 80 nucleotides in length. Their secondary structure includes four short double-helical elements and three loops (D, anti-codon, and T loops).
Source: RNAcentral
GGGUAUAGCUCAGUUGGUAGAGCGGCGGUCUCCAAAACCGCAGGUCGCAGGUUCGAGCCCUGCUGCCC